ACAAUGCAGUCGAGCGGCAGCCGGGUGCUUGCACCUGGUGGCGAGUGGCGAACGGGUGAGUAAUACAUCGGAACAUGCCCUGCAUUGGGGGAUAACCCGGCGAAGGCCGGAUUAAUACCGCCGACGAUCUACUGAUGAAGGCGGGGGACCUUCUGGCCUCGCGCUUUAGGGGUGGCCGAUGGAUGAUUACCUAGUUGGUGGGGUAAAUGCCUACCAAGGCGACCAUCAAUAGCUGGUCUGAGAGGACAACCGACCACACUGGGACUGACACACGGCCCGAACUCCUACGGGAGGCAGCAGUGGGGAAUUUUGGACAAUGGGCGAAAGCCUGAUCCAGCAAUGCCGCGUGUGUGAACAAGGCCUUCGGGUUGUAAAGCACUUUUGUCCGGAAAGAAAUCCUUGGCUCUAAUACAGUCGGGGGAUGACGGUACCGGAAGAAUAAGCACCGGCUAACUACCUGCCAGCAGCCGCGGUAAUACGUAGGGUGCGAGCGUUAAUCGGAAUUACUGGGCGUAAAGCGUGCGCAGGCGGUUUGCUAAGACCGAUGUGAAAUCCCCGGGCUCAACCUGGGAACUGCAUUGGUGACUGGCAGGCUAGAGUAUGGCAGAUGGGGGUAGAAUUCCACGUGUAGCAUUGAUGUGCGUAGAGAUGUGGAGGAAUACCGAUGGCGAACGCAGCCCCCUGGGGCCAUACUGACGCUCAUGC
RNAcentral lists this ribosomal RNA (705 nucleotides) under Burkholderia sp. Its description in RNAcentral is "bacterial SSU rRNA". It matches the Rfam family "Bacterial small subunit ribosomal RNA", at positions 53 to 752 of the family's 1533-position model. The record is from RNAcentral. Lineage: Bacteria; Pseudomonadati; Pseudomonadota; Betaproteobacteria; Burkholderiales; Burkholderiaceae.